UAUUACAAUUAUUAUUUUAAUUGAGAUAUAACAUCUAUGCAGCAAAGUAUAUGAAUCUUAAGAGUGCGGCUCAAUGAAGAUUUUUUAAAAAGAAUUUUCAAUGUAUAUAUUAGACAGAGAGAGAAAACGAGAGAGUCAGAGCACGAGCCAGGGGAGGGGCAGAGGGAGAGGGAGGAGCAGGCUCUCCGCUGAGCAGGGAGCCCAAUGCAGGGCUCAGGGCUUGAUCCCAGGACCCUGGGAUCAUGACUGGACCCAAAGACAGAUAUUUAACCAACUGAUCCAUCCAGGCGCCCCUCAAUGAACCUUUACAUAUGUAUAUGUAUAUAACCACUGCCUACAUCAAAAUAUAGAAUAUUUCCACAUUUCCAGAACCUUGGGAUGUAUAUGCCCCUUCUGAGGCAACAGCCCUCCAAAGGUAGCCACUAAUGUGAUUUCUACUGCCAUAAGUUAAUUUUGCCUCUUAUUGAACUUUAUAUAAGUUAAAUCAUACACUGCAUGAUGUUUUUGCACCUGGCUUCUUUCACUCAACAUUAUAUCUGUGAGAUCCAUCCAUGUUGUUGCAUGUGGUCAUCGGAAUUCUUUUUCAUUACUGAGCAGUAUUUUAUUGCAUGAAUGUAAAUAUACAUGAUAUCUAAAUAAUCAUAAUCCAUUCAACUUCACAUUAGUGGAUAUUUAUGUUGCUUUCAGUUGUUGGCUAUUAUGAAUGAAGCUGCUCUGAACAUGCUUGUGGUUGUCUUUUGAUGAAUCCAUUAACAUUAUUUUGAGACACACACUUGACUUUUAAAAUAAGCAACAACAUACCACUUUCCACUUCUUCCCACUGAGCUGUGCCAUGCUGGGAUGAGAUUAUCAGAGCUCUGCACUGUGGAUGUAUCUGUGGGAGGAGAGGGCAGCCACCUGGACAGACCCAGCAAGCCUCCAACCACAACCGUGAAUCUUCAUGCCACCCCUGGCACAGCUGAGCCCCUGGCCAAGGUCACACAGCGUGUAAGCAGGGAAAAAAUGAGAAUCAGAGCUCUUAAAGGGAAGGGAGAAGAGUGGAAAAGAACAUUUUCGAAUGCCAAAUUAGAGACCUUGGUCAUGCUUUGUGUCUCUGUAUUCUCAGGACCCAGCAUAAUACCUAGCAUAGUAUUGGCCCUCAAUAAAUGCUUAUUGCGUCACUGAACAGAAGAGCAAACAAAUAGACCCACGCAUUCACAUGAAUAUUGCUUUUAAGCCUUGUUUUAGACGGGCUACCAACCGGGAUUUAUUGGAAUGGAGAAAUUGGCUGAAUGGGACCACAGGGUUGUCCCUGGCAGACUUUCACCUCAGCCAGGAAGGGUUUCUUGGCCCACUAGAUAAGGCUGGGUUAGAGAAUAUAUGUCAGGAAGCAGGGAGAAGGGGGCUGUAGAGAAGAGGAAGAGGCACUGGGAGAAGGGAAACCAUACGGACAGUGAAUGGACAUGUUUCACCGGGACGUGUUAGGUAUGGAGGCUUUGGGGGACUCAGCAUACAGGUGUCUGGGGCAAGAGGUCAGCCAGGGCGCCUGGGAGAUAAAGUUGCCGGCUUUGCCCUCUAGAAGCCUGGGGCCGGGCAAGCAGGUUUGCAAAGAAUGUGCAGCAAGGCCCGGGAAGACAGUCAGGGAUUCCUGCCCCCACCUCACGGAGGUGGGGAAUGUUCUCUUGCUCAUUCAUCCUUUGGGAUGACUCAUGGCUGAGCUAUCAAGAGUGCAGAAGGUUCCGGGGAGGAGGGCUGCUGCCUCGCCCAUCUGUGCACAGGCAGUCCUGGCAGCCUCGCAGCGCGAGUGUUCCCAGGCUGGCCACAGGGGGGCGAGAGGGAGCCAGGCCUGACGCUCCGGCCACCUGGGCGAUUGCAGCUCCAGGAGGAGCACUGGACUGGGAGUCUGGGGCCUGGGUGCUAGUCCUUCCUGGGCCUCCUACAUACUGGCCACCCUGGGCAAGUGACUUUCUCCCUCUGCACCUCAGUUAACUCCCUCUGCACCUCAGUGAUGGUACCCUUCCUGCCUAAAACCAGGAUGUCUCAUUUGUUAUUUGGGUUUAUGCCUCAGGUUGCAUAAGUCAGGGAAGUCUUCCUGGGUGAUAUAUGUAGUUAAUCAUACCUCCAGUCUGAUUCCCCGGAAAGACUAAGGGAAACUGCUUUCCUUGAGGUCAUGUCUCACAAAUCCAUCGGGAUGCAAAAAGGGAAUGAGAAGAACGUGAUGGCACCAGGCAGACUGUGCUAAAUGCUUUGCUUUCAGCCUCUCUGUGCAUCCUCAAAACUACCCUUAAGGCUAGACUUAAAGAUGAUGGGCAUCUUUUCUGAUUUUUUGCUUUUGUGCUGAGCUACACCUUAUAUGCAAUAAAGUACCCUAACCUUACAUGCGCAUACAGCUUCAUGGAUCUCUACCUAUGUAUACUCCUGUGUAACCACCCAGAUCAAGAUGCAGAGCAUUCUUCUAGUGCCCCAAAAGGCUCCUACAUGCUUCAUUCCAGUCAGUACCCACCAAAGGUAACCUUUAUUCUGACUUCAAAAUACUAUUUUUGCCCAUUACACAGAUGAGGAUGCUUGAGGCUCAGCAAUACGAAGUGACUUGCCCUAGCUAUUCGUGGCUAGAAAUAGCACUACUGAUGCUUUUGGAGCCAUUGAGUGUGUGGAGAAUUUGAACGAGGUUGCCAGUGCUAGAGCCUUGCGGCACCAUUCAGCAGCUGUCCAGCCUGCUCCUACCUACCCUCCACAUGGCAGCCAGUAUCAGGCAGGGAACAUCUUGGUUUCCACUGGUUGAGGCUGUGUCCUCCCUCCACCCCUCCUGUUCAUCCGGGCUGGUGCCAGAGUGCCUCACCUUGACCAGAAGGCUCCCCCCGCCACCCC
RNAcentral lists this long non-coding RNA (2847 nucleotides) under Canis lupus familiaris (dog). Its description in RNAcentral is "lncRNA (ENSCAFG00030009282.1)". The record is from RNAcentral. Lineage: Eukaryota; Metazoa; Chordata; Mammalia; Carnivora; Canidae.